This is a non-coding RNA of Podarcis lilfordi (Lilford's wall lizard), 75 nucleotides long. NCBI's taxonomy places the organism in Eukaryota, Metazoa, Chordata, Lepidosauria, Squamata, Lacertidae. The record is from the annotation of a GenBank genome assembly.
CUUCUGUGUCUCGAGGCUGAGAGGAGGCGCUUACUUCCCUUGUAAGCGCCUCCUCUCAGCCUCGAGACACAGAAG